Molecule: unclassified non-coding RNA, 311 nt
Filed under: Mucidula mucida
Lineage: Eukaryota; Fungi; Basidiomycota; Agaricomycetes; Agaricales; Physalacriaceae
Description: ITS2
Source: RNAcentral
AACUCUCAACCCUUCUUACUUGUUUUUCGAGUUCGAAUGGUGUUGGAUGGUGGAGGCCUGCCGGACCUUUCAAUGGGUUCAGCUCCUCUGAAAUGCAUUAGCAGUACGAACCAUUACUUGGGCUACGCUAAGCUGUGAUAAUAUCUAAGCUAGCUUGGUUCAGAGUGUUGGCAGAGCUCGGGUGUUUGAAGGGUUUGCCUCACGGCUCCCUUUGUGUUCUCUCCUCUGGAGAGAUACCUAUGCGACUCUGUGAAAGGUUUUUGCGACCGCUUCGAACCGUCUUCUUGACUGAGACAACUGUAACUGAUUAU